UACAGAGGGUGCGAGCGUUGUCCGGAAUCACUGGGCGUAAAGGGCGCGUAGGUGGCGCGACAAGUCAGUGGUGAAAGUUCGACGCUCAACGUCGAAUCGGCCACUGAUACUGUUGGGCUUGAGCACUGUAGAGGCUAAUGGAAUUCCGGGUGUAGCGGUGGAAUGCGUAGAGAUCCGGAAGAACACCGGUGGCGAAGGCGGCCCGCUGGGCAGAGACUGACGCUGAGGCGCGACAGCGUGGGGAGCAAACAGG
Molecule: ribosomal RNA, 253 nt
Filed under: uncultured bacterium
Lineage: Bacteria
Description: partial 16S ribosomal RNA
Rfam family: Bacterial small subunit ribosomal RNA
Source: RNAcentral